GCAGUCGCCGCGGGAAUACGUAGGGUGCAAGCGUUAAUCGGAAUUACUGGGCGUAAAGCGUGCGCAGGCGGUUAUAUAAGACAGAUGUGAAAUCCCCGGGCUCAACCUGGGAACUGCAUUUGUGACUGUAUAGCUAGAGUACGGCAGAGGGGGAUGGAAUUCCGCGUGUAGCAGUGAAAUGCGUAGAUAUGCGGAGGAACACCGAUGGCGAAGGCAAUCCCCUGGGCCUGUACUGACGCUCAUGCACGAAAGCGUGGGGAGCAAACAGGAUUAGAUACCCGAGUAGUCCCUGUCUCUUAUAC
RNAcentral lists this ribosomal RNA (302 nucleotides) under uncultured bacterium. RNAcentral describes it as "partial 16S ribosomal RNA". It matches the Rfam family "Bacterial small subunit ribosomal RNA", at positions 508 to 807 of the family's 1533-position model. The record is from RNAcentral.